Haplochromis burtoni (Burton's mouthbrooder) is the source of this 1463-nucleotide long non-coding RNA. RefSeq lists it as uncharacterized. The record is from RefSeq and is a predicted model, not a curated record. The transcript is spliced from 3 exons. NCBI's taxonomy places the organism in Eukaryota, Metazoa, Chordata, Actinopteri, Cichliformes, Cichlidae.
GGUCUGGUGAUCCGUCUACUUGUCACCUUCCUGUUGGUUCAUUAUGGAGGAUUCAACCUAAAAGAGAAGCUCUUCAUUUCUGUGGCCUGGCUGCCUAAAGCUACUGUGCAGGCUGCCAUUGGCUCCAAGGCAUUGGACAUGGCGAGGGAGGAAGGGGACGAGGCCUUAAUUAAGUUUGGUUUGGACGUGCUAACCUUAGCGGUGUUAGCCAUCUUGACCACAGCUCCAGUUGGUGCACUGGGUAUCGGACUGGCAGGACCACGUCUCCUGGCCCGGCAGGUCAAAGAAGAGACAGAAGGUGAAGCUACACCAUCUUACCUGUGAGAGUAUUACACCAUCUUAUCCACCUUAUACUUGUAAUCAAAUAAUUGUUGAAUCAUUGUAUGGCCAUAGGCCACAUUAUGCCUUUGAUUAAAGGUUGUGAAAUCAUUACACUGUUUUAUGAUGCAUUAUACUGCUGAGUUAUAAGAAAUGCUGUUUGUGUAGAAUCAUGGCCUUCCUUUUCUGAUUACAAAGAGAACAGAACAUACUGUAGAGUUUUUCUGCCCCAUCUCAUCAGGAGGAGAUAAGACAGGAAGCCAAGGCCGUCACUUAGGCGCUGUAAGAUAGAAAGAAUGUGAGGGUUUAGGCUUUAUGGCCCUGAAGGGAAGGGGAAAAAGCUGUAAGAGUCUGUAACUGUUGGACACUUCGAGAUGUUGCCAGACACCCUCCUGUGCACAUCUCCCGUCUGGACAUCGGUAAUGCUCAAAGUGUUGUAUAGAAAGAAUUGUAUAGAAUAAAGAGAUUUUUGAUUGAGCAUUUAUACACCAUUUAUACACCGAGUGUUGUUCUUCCUUCAGCCCAAAAAUGAAAGAAUUGGGGUAUUUAACAUACUGCAACGGGGCCGUUCAAGAAAAAGACAGCUUAAAAAACUCCUUAUAUACAAACUGUAUAUGCAAUAUAUUGGUAUGUCCACACAUAAUGUAAAUGAUAAUCAGAGUUUAGCUGCAGUUCAUUUAUAUAUACUGGCUGUAGGUUUCUCCUAUUGUCUCAUAUACUCAGGUUAGAAACUGUAAAUUUGCAAAUGUUCAUAUUUUUAUUAGGCUAUUAUUAGUAAAGCAAAUGUGUUAAAAGUACUGAUAUAUUCUGUGUUAUUACAUUUGACAUAUUUCAGCUAUUUUACAAUCCUUUGAAAUGAACUCUGUUUGCUAAGCGUCACAUGUCUGAGCUACACCGGUCUUAUAUAUACUGGUGGAAAACCCCCAUUUUUGUAUGAACAAACAUGGGAGUUUGUUCAUACAACGUCACAUGUUGGUGACGCCCUUCUACAAGGCCGUCACCAACAUGUCCUUUGUAGUGUUGUAAACUAUACUAUGUUGACUUUUAUGCAGCAUUUGUUUUUGUUAAUCCAAUUAUUAAUUUUACAUUACACUAUGAUGUUAUCAGCUCAUUACCAGUGACAGUAUGUGUUUUACAAAGCAAUC